Molecule: small nucleolar RNA, 107 nt
Organism: Brassica oleracea var. oleracea
Lineage: Eukaryota; Viridiplantae; Streptophyta; Magnoliopsida; Brassicales; Brassicaceae
Rfam family: Plant small nucleolar RNA R71
About the family: R71 is a member of the C/D box family of snoRNAs containing the C (UGAUGA) and D (CUGA) box motifs. Multiple nearly identical copies of this snoRNA have been identified in Arabidopsis, and it is thought to function as a 2'-O-ribose methylation guide for 18S ribosomal RNA.
Source: Rfam
AAACCAUGGUGUGGGCAUUGAGCUUGGUAGCCCUUGAAUCUCUCCCAGGCUUCACUGAAGCCUUCCAAGUUCUUCUGUUGAAAGCUGGAAAUCUCAUUUCUUAGCUU